Molecule: long non-coding RNA, 1381 nt
Organism: Panthera uncia (snow leopard)
Lineage: Eukaryota; Metazoa; Chordata; Mammalia; Carnivora; Felidae
Exons: 2
Source: RefSeq, a predicted model, not a curated record
UUAUGUUUUACUGUGAGGUCAUAGCAGUGAAGAAUGUGAGGGCUAUUAGUACAAUCUGGUGCCACUUAUCUGAUUUGUGCCAAGAUACUAGCCAUUUUACCCACCACUGCUUUUGCAUUAUCAGUGCAAAUGUCAACAGAGAGAAAAGCGCAAAUAAUGUCUUACUAUUAUUAUGAAAAUAGUUCUGAUCUAGGAGAACCUCUGAGAAACUCUCACACAUAUCUAGGGGUCUGAGAAUCACAUUUUGAGAACGAAUCAUCAUGUUCUGGGAUUGAAGAAGUCAUCAGCUUCUCCAGAACCAUAAGCCCAUAUGAUCCCUGAAGCUUCUGUUAACAAGGAAGUUGAGGGAGAUUGCCUAUUCAGUGGGCAAACAAGAGCGUCUUCCACAACAGGGCCGUUUGGAAGUAACGGUGGAGGAAAAAGAGACACGAGCCAGGGAAAAUUAUUAGCAGGAGGUGAGUAGGAAAGACUGCUCUUAGGAUCAAGGAUUUUGUAAGUAAGGGAUGCUUACAAGUUAGGUAAUAAUAAAUUUCAGCAGUUGGGCAAUGAGUGUUUUAAGCAUUUGGGAGAAUGAAGAACUCACUUAAUGGUUUAGUAAAUGGACAAAUGAAUGACGAUCAUUACUGAUAAAACUGACCUUACCAUUGUGGGAAGAGGGAAAAUCAGUCUCUCUAGCACCUAUUUGUUUUCAAAUUGCCACGGAUAAGACCUCUCUGAAAAUAUAGCUUAGUAGUUCAGAAGUUAAACAUACCAUCGUUUAAAAGAAAUUUUCAAAUGGUUCCUCAAUUAACCAGGAACCAUCAUUUCUUACAGAAGUCUUCCUUGUCCAUGCUAUUUCAACUAAAGGUAUUACAGAAAUAAACUUCAAAGUGGUACAAAGGGUAUUGUGCAGUACAGAUUAACUCCUGAUUAUGGACACGUUAGCACUGUUGAACCAAGCAGGAAAUGGCCAUCUGCUAAGAUAGGCUUCAUUGCCCAAGUGUCUCCUGGGUAAUUUCGUGUCCUAGAAGGUCACAGAAUGCCAAUGAUUUGGUAUAACAAUGGGUAAUUCUGAUGAGACAUCAUUCGUUCUAUAGAAAGCACCAUAAGCAGCAAAGCUGAUUUGGGUUCCUAGAGAGCCUGUGUAUACUAUACUAUAGCACCUCACUUUCUAUCAGGUUUUGCUCAGGUUGCUAGAAGAGAUUCUAUGGAUUUCUAGCCUCAAAGCAGGAUUGACCUGAGUAAAAGAUUAGACAGCAGGUGCACACAUGCAAGAACUACAAGAAACUCAACAAACCAAAUUACAACUGUCAAAAGGAGGAAGAGACCAAUACAGAGGAGAGAUAUUACUUUAGUAUCUCUAACAAGUACAUGUGGCAGAAAUACAUGAUUUUCAACUUCA